This 748-nucleotide ribosomal RNA is filed under the name Hyperolius argus (argus reed frog). RNAcentral describes it as "16S ribosomal RNA". The stretch from base 1 to 505 matches the Rfam family "Bacterial small subunit ribosomal RNA", at positions 793 to 1533 of the family's 1533-position model. The record is from RNAcentral. Lineage: Eukaryota; Metazoa; Chordata; Amphibia; Anura; Hyperoliidae.
CGCUUAGCCGUAAAAUAUUAUUUACAUUAAAAACGCCAAAGCAACUACGAGCGCAAGCUUAAAACUUAAAGGACUUGACGGUGUCCCAUCUACCUAGAGGAGCCUGUUCUAUAAUCGAUAAUCCUCGUUAUAUCUCACCUUUUUUAGCUUAUCAGUCUGUAUACUNCCGUCGUAAGCUUACCAUAUGAAUGUAUUAGUAAGUUAAAUAGUAAUAACAAUUACCAAAACGUCAGGUCAAAGUGCAGCCAACAAAAAGGGAAGAAAUGGGCUACAAUUUCUACUUAAGAACAUACGAAUUUAAGUAACUGAAAACUACUAUGANGGCGGAUUUAGAAGUAAAAUGAAAAUAAAGUGUUCAUUUUAACAAUGCUCUGGGACGUGUACACACCGCCCGUCAUCCUCUUCAAUUCUAUUAAAAAUUUACAUAAAAAAUAAACCUGUAACACGAGGAGGCAAGUCGCAACACGGUAAGUAUACUGGAAAGUGUACUUGGACAUCAAAAUGUAGUUUAUACAAAACCUCUCGCUUACACCGAGAUAAUAUCUAAUUAUAUAGAUCANGGGGGNGCCUCUAAUUUAGUUCUAUAACAUUAGCAUAUAGUCUUUAAACCAAAUACCUCCUAAACAAAACAUUUAUACGAUUUAGUAGGAGCGAUCAANAAACCAUUAGAAUCUNUUUUUUUANGUCCCNAAGGGAAAAAUGAAUUGNGGGGGAUUNNCCCANGGACUUAAGNGGGAUCNCGGUUUUU